UCUCUCGCAAGCCUCGCACAGCGCGAUGAAGUUAUCAAUUUUCGGCAGGGGACACUGAAUGGGAGGCCUCUAAACGCGUGUUUCGAUGGAUCGAAGCCAAAAAAUGGUUUUCUACUACGUGAUUUCUAUGACGGCGUAACGAAUUCCGCGCUUAUAGUUAUUUUCAAAAUUAUGAGUCGUCUAAGAAAUUUUCAAAUGUUGCGGUUAGUUCAGUAGCAACGUGCGCGUCGUAAUGUUAUCUCAGUAUGUGCCUAUUUCGUGAAUUCGAACGGAUGGUUGAAGUGAUUUUUUUUCUUACACAGUUCGCUUAAAAUUAUUAUUUACAGAGUGUAAAAUUAUCUAAAAUAUUUCAAAACAGUGUGAAAUAAUCGACAAAUUUUCUGAACGUGAUUUUGAAGCGAAAAUCCCGGGGAACCAAAAAAGAGGUUAAGAAAAUUGGCAUUUUGUCAGCAGACACCUGGAUAAUGGAUUCAAUUUGAAGCGUGUAAAAGUACACAAGUCGAACGACCUAGUUCAUCAAACGAUCAGAUCAAAGAAGACGGCGAACCAGAAGCGUGAAAUUGUAUAAUUACAUUAAAUAGACUAUUUUCCAAUAA
This is a long non-coding RNA of Planococcus citri (citrus mealybug), 596 nucleotides long. RefSeq lists it as uncharacterized. The transcript is spliced from 3 exons. The record is from RefSeq and is a predicted model, not a curated record. Lineage: Eukaryota; Metazoa; Arthropoda; Insecta; Hemiptera; Pseudococcidae.